The submitters of this non-coding RNA (217 nucleotides) gave its source as unclassified sequences. The record is from Rfam.
GUCCUAUACAGAUGUAUUCAACGCAAGAUAGUUGGGCAUCUCCCUUUAGGGCUAAGUUUAUCAGAAGCUCUGGCAACAAUUUUCAUUGUGUGGCUUACAGUCGAAAUGGAAUGAGUCAGAGUGGAAUAGGUUAGCCGUAAGACCUUGAGUUGGAAAACUCUAAAAUUGAGCUAGAGAUAUGGAUUUCAGAAAUUUUGUAUUUUCUAGUUACGGUCUG